This 254-nucleotide ribosomal RNA is filed under the name uncultured bacterium. RNAcentral describes it as "partial 16S ribosomal RNA". It matches the Rfam family "Bacterial small subunit ribosomal RNA", at positions 524 to 776 of the family's 1533-position model. The record is from RNAcentral.
UACGGGGGGAGCAAGCGUUGUUCGGAUUUACUGGGCGUAAAGGGCGCGUAGGCGGCCAGCACAAGUCAGUUGUGAAAUCUCCGAGCUUAACUCGGAAAGGUCAACUGAUACUGUGCGGCUAGAGUGCGGAAGGGGCAACUGGAAUUCUUGGUGUAGCGGUGAAAUGCGUAGAUAUCAAGAGGAACACCUGAGGCGAAGGCGGGUUGCUAGGCUGACACUGACGCUGAGGCGCGAAAGCUAGGGUAGCAAACGGG